RNAcentral lists this long non-coding RNA (1219 nucleotides) under Mus musculus (house mouse). RNAcentral describes it as "predicted gene, 31545". The record is from RNAcentral. Lineage: Eukaryota; Metazoa; Chordata; Mammalia; Rodentia; Muridae.
AGUGGGCAGAGUAUUCUCUGCAGGCAAGCUCUCUUCUUGCAGGGAAGGUACCCAGAUAUCUGGUGUUCGAACCGGCCUCCUGGCAGAAGUUGUGUUCCACUCGCUAGAGGUCUUAGGAUCCCGUGUGGAAUCCUGUGUGGGCCCUUGCGGGUGUCAGGCGACUCCGCUGGCAAGGUACCCUGGUGUUCAAGUGGAGUGGAAGGGACUUGUACCCCAGGUCAGGCCGGGGUAGUCUGCUUCCCUAUUUACCGCAGUCUCAGGUUCCGCGCGAUUGGAUUGGGGCAGGCGCUGUGUUCCACUCACCAGAGGUCUUAGGAUCCCGUGGGGAAUCCUGUGUGGGCCCUUGCGGGUGUCGGGCGACUCCGCUGGCAAGGUACCCUUGGGCUCGUGUCGCCACUGACAUCUAAGGGGAAGCAAUGAAAGAAGUGUUCUCUAUGUUCAACAAGGACAUGUUAUUUUGAAAUAUUUGUGUCAGAGGUUGGCUGACUCUUGAGGUGGCACCCUUGAAUAUGGAUGGCUAAAAUCAGCUGUGCUCUGGACCUUCUGAGUUCGAGGCCAGCCUGGUCUACAAAGUGAGUUCCAGGACAGCCAAGGCUAUACAGAGAAACCUUGUCUCGAAAAACCAGAAAAAAAAAUGCAGUUUGAAACAAUGAGAACAAUAGAUCAGGGGAGUUGAUGUGUGUACAGAAAACAGCAAUACUAGGGGUCAAAUGGAAAGUAGAAGCAGAAGAUGGAAUGUGGACAGCUCUUGGCAGCAAAGAGCAGAUGCUGAGAUGGUGCAGAAUGAGGGGUGCGUGCUGCAAACACGAAGGAACAGAACCCCAUGAACAACUUGAAUGUUCUUGAAGGAUUCUUCUUCACAGUUGCAGUGAGGAGGAAUCUCAUCCUGCUGACACCUCCCGUUUUGUGUUAUAAAAUCUAAAGCAGAAAGAAUCACUCACGAUGGCCUCUGCCUGAUGGGAUCUAUCCCAAAGCCCACCGACACGGAAGAGAAGCACAAAGGACAAGAAGUGACCCCAGGUGCCUUGCUUCCACUUUAUCCAUAUGCAUCUGCCAACAGUUAUGUAAGCAUAAAGGAAGCAUGAAGAAAAGGCGCCAUUUGAUCACUCAAGAUUCAUAUACUUCCAAAAUGACAUCACAAGCUUGGUGUCUGUAUCUUCACUGUGUCUAGUGUAUCUGAAUGUGCCUCCCCUUGUGUAUGCUCAGCACAGUGUUCUCU